UCCUAGGGCGUCACUCGGCCUCUGUCCCCCUGACGAUCCCCCCUGCAACUCCUCCACCACGGACCAGAGACCCCCCUCUCUGGGCGGCAGACACGGGUGGCUUGCGCCGGCUGGUUUGAAGUAGAGAUAACACCAGCUGGAGUUGGCUUUGGGGCUGUUACUUCUUUCCCAUGAUCAGUCAUGCAUUUUUGUGGUAUUGAUCCUUGGCCCAGACCCUGACUGGCUAAAGCCAAUAAUUCUAUCCCAUCGCAUCUCUCUGGCCGCCAUUAUUUGAUCCAUGAUGGCAGAAACCCAGUCAGAACCACUGAAACCUGUGGAGAAGUCUUCUAGGGCUUCUGGGAAAAAGAAAGUUCUCUCCCCUCCUUGAAAGCCACUCCUUCUGUGAUCCGUAUGGUGUGAAGACAUAAAGACCUGAACGGCUUCUUUACUACUAGGUCAGAAGACCACGGAACUGCCAAUGGGAAGCCAUUUGAGGACUGAAGAAGCAACUGAUGCUUUGGAAUGCAAAGAGGAAAUAUGGAAAGGAACAAAACUGGUCCUUGAUGAUUCUAGAUCAAACUGUACCUGAAGCUGGUCCUGCCUCUGGCCUUUUCACUGAUGCAAGUUUAUACAUCCCGUUAUUCUUCAAGCCAGUUUGAGUUGGAUUCCCUGUCAUUUUCAAUGGAAAGAUUUUUAACUCACCAUUUGCUUUUGUCAAAUUGAUGAUGACAUAUUAAUACCUUUUCAAUGAGUGAUGCUGGGAAAAUGGGGCCAUGCUGUGGGUUUCUGCUUCCCUGUUUUCUUUAGUAUGUUGUUUUCAAUUGGAAUGAAUACCUUCUUAAAUCAUUUUCUUAGUGGUCUCCUUGUCCACACUUUACAACACAGAUCAAGUAUCACUUUCCCUAUGAAUUCAUUACUGAGCAAGAAUGAUAAACACUGGAAUUUUAGAUCUGUUGAGACUGUCCCAAGCAAAAGUUGAGUACUUGUUUUAAGUUAGAUAGACAUGAUUUUGAAACCUGACUCUCUAAUUUACUAGCUGUGUGACUUUCGACAAUUUGCCUAAACUCUCUAAGACACUUCUCCCAACCUGUAAAAAUCCUGUUAAUAAUAGCAUCUUAUCCCAGACAACUUUUGUGAAGAUAAAAUGAAAUAGUUCAUGCACAACAAUUACCAAGGUGCUUGACACAGAAUAAAUGCUCAAUAAAUGUUGAUGCUGUUGUUAGUGUUAACAACUUAUCAAGGAACCUACCAUCUAGAAAGAGUCCAAUAAAUCUAAUCUGCAGUUGUUAGUACGAUAAAUAUCUGCUAUCUGAGUAAUUUAAAAAGUCAUGAAUAAUGUUUGAAUGAAUAUGAGUUAAUUAAAAUAUAAUUCAAUGAAAAAAAUGAAUGAAUGAAUGAAUGGCAGCUGGAAACUGAGAGGCAGGGACACAAGUAGAGGGGCUGGGCCAGAGGAUACGAAGGAGGAAGAAAGAACUGAAAGAUACCCUGUGCUUGAUGAGAAUGCCCUUCCCAUGAUCUGUGUCCCCGUCAGGUGGAAUGUUCUGCAGUGCCGCUCCCUUCCUCCUCUCAUCACUGUGGGUCAUCUGUCGGGAGCUUCUUGAUGGGCAGCUUUACAGACAGCCAUAAAGCGGCAUUUAUGGCCAAAGCCAUCAUAUUUCGUUGAGCUCUAUGCUUAGGGUGUCUACACUAUUUUCUCUCUUUUCUCUGGGUCCUAGUCACUCUGCAAAGAAGAAAUUUAGCAGAGAUGGCUGAAUUCCUUCUCAUGGUUCUGCAUAGCCUCUGAGAUAAAAUGCAAGAAACCUCAAGAACCAGAAGGCCAUUAAGAAUAAAUAGGAUAAUGCGGACGUUUACUGAGUACUUACUUUAGUCCAGGCCUAAAGACUUGGCCGUCCAAGAUAACUCACCAUCUUGAGCUGUGGAUCAGCUCAUGCAGUCUUCACCACUGUAUAUGCAGCUACGCACAGUAGCUCAACUUUGCUGAUGAAGAAACAGAGACACGUCAAGGUUGUGUUCCAUGUUCAAUGUCACAGGGAGCUGACAGGAUGUUCACCCAGGUAGUCCACAUCCAGAACCUGUGCUCCAGGGAGCUCUAGGCUCCACUGUGUCUACACAAUGUGUUGACUCCUAUGGCACUUGAAGCUACAAACACAGUUGUCCCUCUAUUUCCCCUUAGACUCCACAACAAUGGACUCUACAGAAGUAAGUUUCUUAAAAUAAAAUUCUUCAAAUGUGGACACAUUAGAGACACUUUGAGAUGAUUUCAAGAGCUGCUAUUUAUAGAUUUCUUUGAAAAAGAGUUUUUACAAAUUUCCCUUUUUCCAUUGAUCCUUAAUAAGCAGUAGACAGACACUUCAACUCCUGUUUGGACUUGAACUUCACGGGACCAUGCAGCAUUCUUGGUGGAACUGGCACUGAGCAAAUUAGUUCCCAUCACUGAAUCUGGAUCAUGUAACAUCUGGGGCAGCCAAAUUCCACCAAGCAGAUUAAGCACAGAGUUUUGAAGGAAACCUCCACUGCGUGUAGAGGAUGGGAGAGACGGCGCCCUCACCGCCCAGGAUGGAAACUGGAGGGUGAGACUGCCUCCUCCGUCAACCCUCCGGCAGCCACAAGAUUGCAGUCUGUCCCAUCAGGUGCGCCCACCUUGUCGAUUUGAGUCUGUGGCUGUGCGAACAUUUGAUGUGGCUCGCAGUAGUUGCUCUGGUGUCCACGGGCAGUGGCAUCACAGCAAACGGUCCUGGUGGUGUUAUCUUCAGUGAACUGUUCAGGCUAAAAGAAGGAUGUCAGCAUUCUCGCCUCCUGGCUCCUCUCCCCAUUGCCGUGGUUCUCACCAGGUCCUCCAACCAUUUCAUAAUUUUCAGUCUCGAUAAAGUAAAACUUUACUUCAAAUAAAUUUACUUUUAAAAUCUGAAAUAGUCAGAAUUGGUUUCUGUUGUGUUUAACCCACAACCUUGAAACUUUUAAUUGGCUUGGGCAUGAGAUAGAAGGAUGCUCUGAUCACUCUGGGCUGCAGUAAUUUGGGAAGCCUCCACGGAGAAUAAGGGCUUCAAGUACUCUGCACAGGCAGAGAGCAACGGAGCAGCUGUUCUGCGUUGAACUCCUGGUAGAGAGAAGCAGAAAAAGUCUAGUAUGCUGAAAACAAUUUUAAACUAUAAAGACAAGUUUUGUUUAUCUUCCUUAUCAUUUUAUCUUCAAGAAAGUAACUCAGUGCCAGUAACUCAGUGACUGGCAAACAACAGCAUGUAUUAAAAGUGCUGAAUGAGGGCUGGCCUGGUGGUGUAGUGGUUAAAUUUGUGUGCUCCACUUCACUGGCCCUGGGUUU
Molecule: long non-coding RNA, 3298 nt
Organism: Equus caballus (horse)
Lineage: Eukaryota; Metazoa; Chordata; Mammalia; Perissodactyla; Equidae
Source: RefSeq, a predicted model, not a curated record